AUUGAACGCUGGCGGCAGGCCUAACACAUGCAAGUCGAGCGGAUGAAGGGAGCUUGCUCCUGGAUUCAGCGGCGGACGGGUGAGUAAUGCCUAGGAAUCUGCCCGGUAGUGGGGGAUAACGUCCGGAAACGGGCGCUAAUACCGCAUACGUCCUGAGGGAGAAAGUGGGGGAUCUUCGGACCUCACGCUAUCAGAUGAGCCUAGGUCGGAUUAGCUAGUUGGUGGGGUAAAGGCCUACCAAGGCGACGAUCCGUAACUGGUCUGAGAGGAUGAUCAGUCACACUGGAACUGAGACACGGUCCAGACUCCUACGGGAGGCAGCAGUGGGGAAUAUUGGACAAUGGGCGAAAGCCUGAUCCAGCCAUGCCGCGUGUGUGAAGGAGGUCUUCGGAUUGUAAAGCACUUUAAGUUGGGAGGAAGGGCAGUAAGUUAAUACCUUGCUGUUUUGACGUUACCAACAGAAUAAGCACCGGCUAACUUCGUG
This 484-nucleotide ribosomal RNA is filed under the name uncultured bacterium. Its description in RNAcentral is "partial 16S ribosomal RNA". It matches the Rfam family "Bacterial small subunit ribosomal RNA", at positions 30 to 507 of the family's 1533-position model. The record is from RNAcentral.